This is a long non-coding RNA of Achroia grisella, 562 nucleotides long. RefSeq lists it as uncharacterized. The transcript is spliced from 3 exons. Lineage: Eukaryota; Metazoa; Arthropoda; Insecta; Lepidoptera; Pyralidae. The record is from RefSeq and is a predicted model, not a curated record.
UUAUUCAUUAAUAUUAAAUUUUUUCCACAGUAUGUACAAUGUAGUUAUAUAUUGGAAUAAAAUAUGCAAAGUGAGAUAGCAAAUCUUGAACGCGGCGGGGAAUACUUUGUGAGUGUUCCUUUGCGAUGUCACUAAUGUCACUGACAAGAAUCAACCGUUGUAUGUUGAAAACUUGGCAUUCAAAUAUAAUAUGGUUUAUGUCAGCAUUUAUCUUGAAACAGUGGUUGCAUCUGUUGUCAUUUGUGAUUUUAAUUCUGUUGAGAUGGGAUGGAACUAAACAAUGACCGAAACGUAGACGAUUGAUGAUAGUGAUAAAUUUUCUAUUGUAAUAUUUGAAUUUGCUGUACCAAGGUGUCACUGGUAAUGAUCCUGAAAUAAUAACAGAUGCUGAUAUGGGGGAACCUACAACUAACUGAGAAAGCUGUGCAGGAUAUAAAAUAUUUUUAAGCACAAUACUAUUACUGGAAGAUAAUUCCUUUAUACAAAAUCUUUCUGCCAGUUGCAAACGUCUUAGAGACAAUGGAGGUCGGACCUCAUACACUGAUGGCCUCACAUUUACACU